AGCCGCAGCCCCGAGCCCGGUCGCCUCACUUGGCGGACGUGAGGCCUGUAGUAAAGAGUAAAGCCUGAGGUAGAUUACCCCUCCCAUCGAGCACGUUAGUUUCCUGCUUACCGCGUAAGCAACCCGCUCAACAAUAUAGUCUGCCUGGCAACUGAUGAUGUUAGCCAAUCAGCUUGCCUUGCUUACUUUAACAUGAUUGGACACUGUAUCCGUAUAUAUACUGGUGCCACCCCUGGGGGGGAAGAAGAAGCCCGGAAGUAGAAGCCCAGAAGGAGCCGCGGGGAGCGGACCAAAGGAGGCUUCGGCUGGGAGCGAUCCCAGGGCAGGCUGUACGGAGAAGGAAAAUAAAAGAAAAGGUUGUCCACUGCCAGACUUUGUCGUGUGUCCUUCCUGCCGGCCAGGAGCGACAUCGACAUUUGGAGGCCCGUACGGGGACUGAUCACCCCCGAGACGUGACAGCGGACAACGCUCCAGUACAGAGCUGCGAGACAGGAAUCGGGACGAGAACCACUGUGGGUACCAGAGAGACUGACACGGGCGACAAAGCCCUCGACUGAAGAUCAGACCUGCCCUACCGGAGAUCCAUCACAGACCAACCAACAAGAUGAAUAGAAAUAGCGGUAGCCCGAAAUGGACAAGAAGAUCCUCAGGCAUAUGCAUGGCUCGCUCGCCUAGCCUACGACCGAGUCUAGGGGUGGUGAGCUUCCCACACUCCUCCUCUAAAAAAUUAUGACAUAGCUGGGUAGGAGAGUCAAUGACGGGUAAGAGCGUAUUCCCCCGGUGCGACUCAACCUAAGCCAGGCCCUACCCCAUCCUGCACGUAAGCCGCUGGACUGUUAGAUGCUGCCCAGGUCUAAAUUUCUCUCCGAGGGGAUUUCUUUACGGAGAGGAAAUGAGUGCAAGCUUGUGUGCAUCCAGGUUCCGUCCAGUUUGUGCCUGGCCCUAGAAAAAGGACGAGGGCCUCAGGGCCUUGGCAGACCAUGGGACGGCCGACCAGGGUCUAAGCCAAGGACCUACGGUGGGCCUACGCAUAGGGCAUAAGCCUCUGCACCCAGUCCAGGAAGGGCUACGAUGCGCACAUUUAUAAAAAAAAUAAAAAAGGGGGAGAUGUUGGGAGCCGCAGCCCCGAGCCCGGUCGCCUCACUUGGUGGACGUGAGGCCUGUAGUAAAGAGUAAAGCCUGAGGUAGAUUACCCCUCCCAUCGAGCACGUUAGUUUCCUGCUUACCGCGUAAGCAACCCGCUCAACAAUAUAGUCUGCCUGGCAACUGAUGAUGUUAGCCAAUCAGCUUGCCUUGCUUACUUUAACAUGAUUGGACACUGUAUCCGUAUAUAUACUGGUGCCACCCCUGGGGGGGAAGAAGAAGCCCGGAAGUAGAAGCCCAGAAGGAGCCGCGGGGAGCGGACCAAAGGAGGCUUCGGCUGGGAGCGAUCCCAGGGCAGGCUGUACGGAGAAGGAAAAUAAAAGAAAAGGUUGUCCACUG
This is a long non-coding RNA of Cavia porcellus (domestic guinea pig), 1482 nucleotides long. RefSeq lists it as uncharacterized. The record is from RefSeq and is a predicted model, not a curated record. The transcript has 2 exons. Lineage: Eukaryota; Metazoa; Chordata; Mammalia; Rodentia; Caviidae.